AUUGUAUUGCUACACAUUGUUUUGGCAGUUUGGUAUAGUGUUGUUGCUAUUAUUUUUUUUUUAUUUCAAUUGAAGCUUAAUUGGAUUGGCUCGGGACCUGGUCCGGCCUCGGAUGAUUCGGUUGAGUUGGCUGAUGUGGAUUCUUCUGUGUUGGAUGAGCUUUUGGUGACACUGAAGAAGUCAGUCUCAGUUCGUUUGGAUGCUAUGAACUAAACAUGGAGUCCUAUCUUCGGUUUUGCCAGAAUCUAUAGGAGCAGCGAAACCAUAUUUGCGGCAAUUCAUUGAUGUAUAUGCAUUUUUGUAGGUUUGGUAGGAAAAUUUAUGGUUUAAAUGUAGUUAUUUAAAUAGCUUUUUUGUAAUAAACCAUAUCUGUACCAACACUUAAAGCGAUAUUAUAAAGUGUAUGUUUUUUUAUA
This is a long non-coding RNA of Cucumis melo (muskmelon), 416 nucleotides long. RefSeq lists it as uncharacterized. The record is from RefSeq and is a predicted model, not a curated record. NCBI's taxonomy places the organism in Eukaryota, Viridiplantae, Streptophyta, Magnoliopsida, Cucurbitales, Cucurbitaceae. The transcript is spliced from 3 exons.